GAGCACAUGUUUCAUUCGAAUAAACUUCAUUCCUGCUCUUUUGGAAAUCUGAGCUUGCUGAUGAGGAGAUUAGAAAAAAAAAUUCAAAUGCAUCUGGGUGGGUUUUUACCAAAAAAAAAAAAAAUCUCUGAUCAAACAUUUGUGGAGUUGGACAAAGGCUUGUGGGAGAAAAUGGGCGGAGGUCCUGCAGGAUUUUAAUUGGUUCGCAUUACAAAGAAAGGGGCGGGGCUUGUGCUGCGGUGAUGUGAUGCAGCUGCAGGAGGAGAGAAGAAGAGGAGAAGGUGAGGAAGAGGAGGAUGGGAAGUUAGUUCCUCUGCUCUCCGACAAGAUGAACAGCUCAACGUUCACUGUGACUUUACUUUGACUGGAGGUUUUUUUUUCCAGAAAACAUAUUUUGGCACUUUUUUUGUUCUUUUCCUGCUUUGCAUAUGUUUAAUCCUCGUUUUGCAAAGUCGCUCUCAGCUGGAAGAUGUUGCUCUGCUGCUGGACAUGCACCGUUUUCCUCCUCGGCCUGCUGAGCUCCUCCUCAGCUGACGAUGCAGCAGCGGAGGACUUCGGAGGAGAGUCUGGCUCCGGGAUGCUGCAGGCAGGAAACAGAACAGGCAUGAUUGGCAUCCUCCCUCUCUCCUCCCUCCCUCCCCCCAUCGUAAUGGCUUGAUCCUUUGAUUACAGUGUUGGGUGGAAGAAGGAAG
Amphiprion ocellaris (clown anemonefish) is the source of this 692-nucleotide long non-coding RNA. The record is from Ensembl. Lineage: Eukaryota; Metazoa; Chordata; Actinopteri; Pomacentridae.